ACACCGUUGGUGAAGUGGUUAUCAUGCUUGCCUUCCAUACAUAUCCAAUGUCAGCAAGCGGGCUGGGUUCGAUUCCCAGACGGUGUA
Tulasnella sp. 419 is the source of this 87-nucleotide non-coding RNA. The record is from the annotation of a GenBank genome assembly. NCBI's taxonomy places the organism in Eukaryota, Fungi, Basidiomycota, Agaricomycetes, Cantharellales, Tulasnellaceae.